Molecule: ribosomal RNA, 248 nt
Filed under: uncultured Muribaculaceae bacterium
Lineage: Bacteria; Pseudomonadati; Bacteroidota; Bacteroidia; Bacteroidales; Muribaculaceae
Description: partial 16S ribosomal RNA
Rfam family: Bacterial small subunit ribosomal RNA
Source: RNAcentral
UACGUAGGGGGCGAGCGUUAUCCGGAUUUAUUGGGCGUAAAGGGUGUGUAGGCGGUUUGUUAAGUCUAAAAUCAAAGCCCGAGGCUUAACCUCGGUUCGUUUUAGAAACUGGCAAACUAGAGUGCAGUAGAGGCAAGUGGAAUUUCUAGUGUAGCGGUUAAAUGCGUAGAUAUUAGAAGGAACACCAGUGGCGAAGGCGGCUUGCUGGGCUGUAACUGACGCUGAGACACGAAAGCGUGGGGAGCAAA